This 568-nucleotide ribosomal RNA is filed under the name uncultured bacterium. RNAcentral describes it as "partial 16S ribosomal RNA". It matches the Rfam family "Bacterial small subunit ribosomal RNA", at positions 355 to 912 of the family's 1533-position model. The record is from RNAcentral.
UGGGGAAUUUUGGACAAUGGGCGAAAGCCUGAUCCAGCAAUGCCGCGUGUGUGAAGAAGGCCUUCGGGUUGUAAAGCACUUUUGUCCGGAAAGAAAUCCUUGGCUCUAAUACAGUCGGGGGAUGACGGUACCGGAAGAAUAAGCACCGGCUAACUACGUGCCAGCAGCCGCGGUAAUACGUAGGGUGCAAGCGUUAAUCGGAAUUACUGGGCGUAAAGCGUGCGCAGGCGGUUUGCUAAGACCGAUGUGAAAUCCCCGGGCUCAACCUGGGAACUGCAUUGGUGACUGGCAGGCUAGAGUAUGGCAGAGGGGGGUAGAAUUCCACGUGUAGCAGUGAAAUGCGUAGAGAUGUGGAGGAAUACCGAUGGCGAAGGCAGCCCCCUGGGCCAAUACUGACGCUCAUGCACGAAAGCGUGGGGAGCAAAACAGGAUUAGAUACCCUGGUAGUCCACGCCCUAAAACGAUGUCAACUAGUUGUUGGGGAUUCAUUUCCUUAGUAACGUAGCUAACGCGUGAAGUUGACCGCCUGGGGAGUACGGUCGCAAAGAUUAAAAACUUAAAUGAAUUG